CCAGACUCCUACGGGAGGCAGCAGUGGGGGAUAUUGCACAAUGGGGGGAACCCUGAUGCAGCGACGCCGCGUGGGCGAGGGAGCGCCUCGGCGCGUAAAGCCCUUUCGGCGGGGGAGAACGAUGACGGUACCCGACGAAGAAGCACCGGCUAAAUACGUGCCAGCAGCCGCGGUAAUACGUAUGGUGCAAGCGUUAUCCGGAUUUACUGGGUGUAAAGGGAGCGUAGGCGGCGCGUUAAGUCUGAUGUGAAAACCCGAGGCUCAACCACGGGAGUGCAUUGGAAACUGGCGGGCUGGAGUGCCGGAGAGGUAAGCGGAAUUCCUAGUGUAGCGGUGAAAUGCGUAGAUAUUAGGAGGAACACCAGUGGCGAAGGCGGCUUACUGGACGGCAACUGACGCUGAGGCUCGAAAGCGUGGGGAGCAAACAGGAUUAGAUACCCUGGUA
Molecule: ribosomal RNA, 445 nt
Filed under: uncultured bacterium
Lineage: Bacteria
Description: bacterial SSU rRNA
Rfam family: Bacterial small subunit ribosomal RNA
Source: RNAcentral